Molecule: ribosomal RNA, 196 nt
Filed under: Escherichia coli
Lineage: Bacteria; Pseudomonadati; Pseudomonadota; Gammaproteobacteria; Enterobacterales; Enterobacteriaceae
Description: partial 16S ribosomal RNA
Rfam family: Bacterial small subunit ribosomal RNA
Source: RNAcentral
UUAAAUUGAAGAGUUUGAUCAUGGCUCAGAUUGAACGCUGGCGGCAGGCCUAACACAUGCAAGUCGAACGGUAACAGAAAGAAGCUUGCUUCUUUGCUGACGAGUGGCGGACGGGUGAGUAAUGUCUGGGAAACUGCCUGAUGGAGGGGGAUAACUACUGGAAACGGUAGCUAAUACCGCAUAACGUCGCAAGACC